This 389-nucleotide ribosomal RNA is filed under the name uncultured bacterium. RNAcentral describes it as "bacterial SSU rRNA". It matches the Rfam family "Bacterial small subunit ribosomal RNA", at positions 28 to 417 of the family's 1533-position model. The record is from RNAcentral.
GACGAACGCUGGCGGCGUGCUUAACACAUGCAAGUCGAGCGGUAAGGCCCUUUCGGGGGUACACGAGCGGCGAACGGGUGAGUAACACGUGGGUGACCUGCCCUCAGCUCUGGGAUAAGCCUGGGAAACCCGGGUCUAAUACCGGAUAUGACUCCAUGACGCAUGUUGUGGGGUGGAAAGCCUUGUGCGGCUGAGGAUGGGCCCGCGGCCUAUCAGCUUGUUGGUGGGGUGAUGGCCUACCAAGGCGACGACGGGUAGCCGGCCUGAGAGGGCGACCGGCCACACUGGGACUGAGACACGGCCCAGACUCCUACGGGAGGCAGCAGUGGGGAAUCUUGCGCAAUGGGCGAAAGCCUGACGCAGCGACGCCGCGUGAGGGAUGACGGCCU